RNAcentral lists this ribosomal RNA (1220 nucleotides) under Pinus taeda (loblolly pine). Its description in RNAcentral is "SSU rRNA". It matches the Rfam family "Eukaryotic small subunit ribosomal RNA", at positions 583 to 1823 of the family's 1831-position model. The record is from RNAcentral. Lineage: Eukaryota; Viridiplantae; Streptophyta; Pinopsida; Pinales; Pinaceae.
UUCCAGCUCCAAUAGCGUAUAUUUAAGUUGCUGCAGUUAAAAAGCUCGUAGUUGGAUCUUGGGUCGUAAAGGUCAGUCUGCCUACUCGGUGUGCACCUACCCUUCCGUCCCUUUUGUCGGCGGCAUGCUCCUGACCUUAAUUGGAUGGGUCACAGCUCCGGCGCUGUUACUUUGAAAAUAUUAGAGUGCUCAAAGCAAGCUUAUGCUCUGAAUACAUUAGCAUGGAAUAACGUGAUAGGAGUCUGGUCCUAUUGUGUUGGCCUUCGGGAUUGGAGUAAUGAUUAAUAGGGACUGACGGGGGCAUUCGUAUUUCAUUGUCAGAGGUGAAAUUCUUGGAUUUAUGAAAGACGGACCACUGCGAAAGCAUUUGCCAAGGAUGUUUUCAUUAAUCAAGAAUGAAAGUUAGGGGCUUGAAGACGAUCAGAUACCGUCCUAGUCUCAACCAUAAAAAAUGUCGACCAGGGAUCGGCGGAUGUUGCUCUAAGGAGUCCGCCAGCAACUUCUGAGUAAUCAGAGUGUUUGGGUUCCAGGGGAGUAUGGUCGCAAGGCUGAAACUUAAAGGAAUUGAUGGAAGGGAACCACCAGGAGUGGAGCCUGCAGCUUAAUUUGACUCAACACGGGGAAACUUACCAAGUCCAGACAUAGUAAGGAUUGACAGAUUGAGAGCUCUUUCUUGAUUCUAUGGGUGGUGGUGCAUGGCCGUUCUUAGUUGGUGGAGCGAUUUGUCUGGUUAAUUCUGAUAAAGAACGAGACCUUAGCCUGCUAACUAGCUACACGGAGGUUCCCCUUCGUGACCAGCUUCUUAGAGGGACUAUAGCCAUUUAGGCCAUGGAAGUUUGAGGCAAUAACAGGUCUGUGAUUCCCUUAGAUGUUCUGGGCCGCACAUGCGCUACACUGAUGCAGCAAACGAGCUUUUCUUCCUGGUUCGAGAGGAUCGAGAAAUCUUCUCAAAUUGCAUCAUGAUGGGGAUAGACCAUUGCAAUUAUUGGUCUUCAACGAGGAAUUCCUAGUAAGCGCGUGUCAUCAACUCGUGUUGACUACGUCCCUGCCCUUUGUAUACACUGCCCGUCGCUCCUACUAAUUGAAUGAUCCGGUGAGGUGUUCGGAUUCCGUCGACGAUGGUGGUUCGCCGCCAUCGACGUCGUGAGAAGUUCAUUGAACCUUAACAUUUAGAAGAAGGAGAAGUCGUAACAAGGUUACCGUAGGUGAACUUGUGGAAG